Long non-coding RNA from Scylla paramamosain (green mud crab), 807 nucleotides. RefSeq lists it as uncharacterized. Lineage: Eukaryota; Metazoa; Arthropoda; Malacostraca; Decapoda; Portunidae. The record is from RefSeq and is a predicted model, not a curated record. The transcript is spliced from 3 exons.
GUAGACGUAGGCUCAAACACACGUUUUCUGAAAGGAAGCAUGUCACAAGUGGCAGCGAGAAACGUGCGCGUCUUGACUUUACUGAAUGUAUGUGAUUGGGUUUUUUUUUUAAGCAGUACCAAGAAGACGGUGUGUGAAACGAACAGCUGUGUAUAAGGAAUUAACACUGCGAAAACAGUGUCGUAGUGCGGAAAAUGGCAUUUUUUGUGUGUGUGUGUUAAAUAACUUAUAUGGCUGCAAUUUGCCAAGAGGAAGAACAUCCUGCAAGUCACCCAUUAGGAAGCACCCACCACCCCAUCGCCACCCCUUCCAUCUGUCCGCCCCCUGGAGGAGACGCCGCUCAGGGAGGGAGCUGAUUCACCGUAGCCACAUCCUGGAAACACGACAGGCCGCAGGGCUACCAGCGUGGCGCCUGCGUGAUGCUCACUCAAAACUGAUGAGAGAAGUGUCUUUAAAGACAGACAGACAGAGAGAGAGAGAGAGAGAGAGAGAGAGAGAGAGAGAGAGAGAGAGAGAGAGAGAGAGAGAGAGAGAGAGAGAGAGAGAGAGAGACGGUGGAAAGUUUUAAAUACCUUUACAAGUAAAAAAAAAAAAAAAAAAAAAACAAGAGGAUUAAUGUGAUCGAAAGAACAAUGUGUUGUAUGCAAGAAUAUUUUUAGGGAAUUGGUUAAGGUUUCUUAACUGCAUGCAUUUUUCUUUGCUUCAUUGUGUUUACAUAUUGUUUGAAAGUGUUGGUUUACGAAUUACGAAAUUUUGUUUAUCGUUGUAAAAUAUUUCCAUUGUUUUUCAAUAUGUUGCUUACUGGAA